Molecule: non-coding RNA, 161 nt
Organism: Paramuricea clavata
Lineage: Eukaryota; Metazoa; Cnidaria; Anthozoa; Malacalcyonacea; Plexauridae
Source: the annotation of a GenBank genome assembly
AUCAUCCAAAGGUGAUGAGGGAAGCGUGGUUAAAUAAAGUUUUACUACUACUGCUGCUGCUGCUGCUGCUGCUGCUGCUGCUGCUGCUGCUGCUGCUGCUGCUGCUGCUGCUGCUGCUGCUGCUGCUGCUGCUGCUGCUGCUGCUGCUGCUGCUGCUGCUG